This 254-nucleotide ribosomal RNA is filed under the name uncultured bacterium. RNAcentral's name for it is "partial 16S ribosomal RNA". It matches the Rfam family "Bacterial small subunit ribosomal RNA", at positions 524 to 776 of the family's 1533-position model. The record is from RNAcentral.
UACGGAGGGUGCGAGCGUUAUCCGGAAUCACUGGGUUUAAAGGGUGCGUAGGCGGUCUGAUAAGUCAGUUGUGAAAUUCCCCGGCUUAACCGGGUGGACUGCGAUUGAUACUGUUGGACUUGAAUCAGGUUGAGGUAGGCGGAAUGUGACAUGUAGCGGUGAAAUGCUUAGAUAUGUCAUAGAACACCGAUUGCGAAGGCAGCUUGCUAGACCUGGAUUGACGCUGAGGCACGAAAGCGUGGGGAGCAAACAGG